Molecule: ribosomal RNA, 305 nt
Filed under: uncultured bacterium
Lineage: Bacteria
Description: bacterial SSU rRNA
Rfam family: Bacterial small subunit ribosomal RNA
Source: RNAcentral
GCCUACGGGGGGCAGCAGUGGGGAAUAUUGCACAAUGGGGGAAACCCUGAUGCAGCGACGCCGCGUGAGUGAAGAAGUAUUUCGGUAUGUAAAGCUCUAUCAGCAGGGAAGAAAAAAGACGGUACCUGACUAAGAAGCCCCGGCUAACUACGUGCCAGCAGCCGCGGUAAUACGUAGGGGGCAAGCGUUAUCCGGAUUUACUGGGUGUAAAGGGAGCGUAGACGGUUCUGCAAGUCUGAAGUGAAAGCCCGUGGCUUAACCGCGGAACGGCUUUGGAAACUGUGGAACUGGAGUGCUGGAGAGGG